This 253-nucleotide ribosomal RNA is filed under the name uncultured bacterium. RNAcentral describes it as "partial 16S ribosomal RNA". It matches the Rfam family "Bacterial small subunit ribosomal RNA", at positions 524 to 776 of the family's 1533-position model. The record is from RNAcentral.
UACGUAGGGUGCGAGCGUUGUCCGGAAUUACUGGGCGUAAAGGGCUUGUAGGUGGUUUGUCGCGUUGUUCGUGAAAACUCAAGGCUUAACUUUGGGCGUGCGGGCGAUCCGGGCAGACUGGAGUACUGCAGGGGAGACUGGAAUUCCUGGUGUAGCGGUGGAAUGCGCAGAUAUCAGGAGGAACACCGGUGGCGAAGGCGGGUCUCUGGGCAGUAACUGACGCUGAGGAGCGAAAGCGUGGGGAGCGAACAGG